UGCAAGUCGAACGCUGAAGCACCAGCUUGCUGGUGUGGAUGAGUGGCGAACGGGUGAGUAAUACGUGAGUAACCUGCCCUUUGACUCUGGGAUAAGCCCGGGAAACUGGGUCUAAUACUGGAUGCUACAUGUCACCGCAUGGUGGUGUGUGGAAAGGGUUUACUGGUCUUGGAUGGGCUCACGGCCUAUCAGCUUGUUGGUGAGGUAAUGGCUCACCAAGGCGACGACGGGUAGCCGGCCUGAGAGGGUGACCGGCCACACUGGGACUGAGACACGGCCCAGACUCCUACGGGAGGCAGCAGUGGGGAAUAUUGCACAAUGGGCGAAAGCCUGAUGCAGCGACGCCGCGUGAGGGAUGACGGCCUUCGGGUUGUAAACCUCUUUCAGCAGGGAAGAAGCCACAAGUGACGGUACCUGCAGAAGAAGCGCCGGCUAACUACGUGCCAGCAGCCGCGGUAAUACGUAGGGCGCAAGCGUUGUCCGGAAUUAUUGGGCGUAAAGAGCUCGUAGGCGGUUUGUCGCGUCUGCUGUGAAAGCCCGGGGCUUAACCCCGGGUGUGCAGUGGGUACGGGCAGACUAGAGUGCAGUAGGGGAGACUGGAAUUCCUGGUGUAGCGGUGGAAUGCGCAGAUAUCAGGAGGAACACCGAUGGCGAAGGCAGGUCUCUGGGCUGUUACUGACGCUGAGGAGCGAAAGCAUGGGGAGCGAACAGGAUUAGAUACCCUGGUAGUCCAUGCCGUAAACGUUGGGCACUAGGUGUGGGGGACAUUCCACGUAUUCCGCGCCGUAGCUAACGCAUUAAGUGCCCCGCCUGGGGAGUACGGCCGCAAGGCUAAAACUCAAAGGAAUUGACGGGGGCCCGCACAAGCGGCGGAGCAUGCGGAUUA
RNAcentral lists this ribosomal RNA (886 nucleotides) under Kocuria sp. RNAcentral describes it as "bacterial SSU rRNA". It matches the Rfam family "Bacterial small subunit ribosomal RNA", at positions 56 to 948 of the family's 1533-position model. Lineage: Bacteria; Bacillati; Actinomycetota; Actinomycetes; Micrococcales; Micrococcaceae. The record is from RNAcentral.